GUCAGCUCCAAUGCUGGGUUUUGCCAUGUGUGUGCCCCGCCCUCCGUAGCGCGUUAUUCACUGUGCCACUAAAAACACCCAAUAACUUAAUGAUUCUUCUCUAGAUAGACAGUUAA
This is a long non-coding RNA of Sinocyclocheilus rhinocerous, 116 nucleotides long. RefSeq lists it as uncharacterized. Lineage: Eukaryota; Metazoa; Chordata; Actinopteri; Cypriniformes; Cyprinidae. The transcript has 3 exons. The record is from RefSeq and is a predicted model, not a curated record.